RNAcentral lists this transfer RNA (73 nucleotides) under Ipomoea nil (Japanese morning glory). It matches the Rfam family "tRNA". Rfam says of the family: Transfer RNA (tRNA) molecules are approximately 80 nucleotides in length. Their secondary structure includes four short double-helical elements and three loops (D, anti-codon, and T loops). Lineage: Eukaryota; Viridiplantae; Streptophyta; Magnoliopsida; Solanales; Convolvulaceae. The record is from Rfam by way of RNAcentral.
GGGGAUGUAGCUCAGAUGGUAGAGCACUCGCUUAGCAUGCGAGAGGUACAGGGAUCGAUACCCCGCAUCUCCA